This 508-nucleotide long non-coding RNA is filed under the name Setaria italica (foxtail millet). Its description in RNAcentral is "long non-coding RNA (SITA_LNC002642)". Lineage: Eukaryota; Viridiplantae; Streptophyta; Magnoliopsida; Poales; Poaceae. The record is from RNAcentral.
GUGACCCCUGUUCCAAUCAGCUGGAGAUCAUUGAUGCCAAGUCAGCUCGGCCAUCAACCACGGCGUGCCUCGGAAACCAGCGACAGAGUUUGAUUUAGGCCAUGUUUAGUUACUCCCAACUCCCAACUUUGACACUAUGCAAAAAGAAGAUUCCCCAUCACAUCAAAUUUGCGGUACAUGCAUGGAGUACUAAAUGUAGAUGAAAUUAAAAACUAAUUGCAUAGUUUUGUUGUACUUUGCGAGACGAAUCUUUUGAGCCUAAUUAGUCAAUAUUUGGACAAUAAUUCACAAAUACAAACGAAACGCUACAGUGUGCUACAGUGCUGUAGCAGUAAUUUGGCACCUCCCAAAUUCCCCAACUAAACACGGCCUUAGCUCAAGGGUUCGAGGGUUCGUGCUCGAUUAGACUAAUGAUGGCACACUACAAGGGAUUAAACUAGCUACUUGCUAUUACUAGAUUAUAUAAACGCUGUGUACAAUGGUGACUGAUGCUCGCUAGGUCAAUGCG